AGAGGUGUAUCUGUGGAACCACCCGAUCCCAUCCCGAACUCGGAAGUGAAACGCAGCUGCGCCGAUGGUAGUGUGGCUCAAGCCAUGCGAGAGUAGGUCAUCGC
RNAcentral lists this ribosomal RNA (104 nucleotides) under Stenotrophomonas maltophilia. Lineage: Bacteria; Pseudomonadati; Pseudomonadota; Gammaproteobacteria; Lysobacterales; Lysobacteraceae. The record is from RNAcentral.